CACAAAAUCAUCUAGUAUCAUGCAGAAAAAAUGUCUAAAGAACCAAAACAGAUUCAAUGCAGUGACGGCAGAAAGUGUAUGGGCAUGAAGAUUCAAAGAAAAAGAUGCGGCCGUUGAAAGAUUUAUAUGCUCCUUUGCUCCAGGUACCUGAACCACUAAGGCCAGUUUCACCAAAUUCAUUUAGUCCAGAAGCACCAACACCAAGUUCAUCUGCACUCUUACCUCCUCCACCACUUCCAGAAUCAGAAGACCAAGUGUUUCCUCCUAAUGGAAAUCAAAAUAUUGAAGAUUUGUGGCAACCCUGUGACUACCAACUCUAUUGAAACCAUUUCUCCAAUAGCAUGAGCUCACUUCAGGCAAAAGAGUCAACAGAAAAAUGGGCAAAAUAAUGGGCAGGCAUUUCAAAGAAGAGAAGAGGAGACAGGCAUAUGGGAGCAUGUGAGGUUUUGGCAAUGUCCUUUUUUUGUGCCUGGGAUGGUGAAAAUUAUAGGAGGUUUGCCUUAUAACUAUUUUUAAUUCUGUCUCUGUGUGUUUAUGUGUUUAAGUAUAUAUAUUUGAAGAUUAUAUAUAUAUGCAUAUAUGCAAAUGAUGUUCUGUACAAAAUAUUAACAAAACUUUAAGAAUACCUGG
Molecule: long non-coding RNA, 630 nt
Filed under: Homo sapiens (human)
Lineage: Eukaryota; Metazoa; Chordata; Mammalia; Primates; Hominidae
Description: HSALNT0187828
Source: RNAcentral